UACGUAGGGUGCAAGCGUUAAUCGGAAUACUGGGCGUAAAGCGUGCGCAGGCGGUCCGUUAAGACAGACUGUGAAAUCCCCGGGCUUAACCUGGGAACUGCAUUUGUGACUGGCGGACUCGAGUAGUGGCAGAGGGGGGUAGAAUUCCACGUGUAGCAGUGAAAUGCGUAGAGAUGUGGAGGAAUACCGAUGGCGAAGGCAGCCCCCUGGGCCAAUACUGACGCUCAUGCACGAAAGGCGUGGGGAGCAAA
This 251-nucleotide ribosomal RNA is filed under the name uncultured bacterium. RNAcentral describes it as "partial 16S ribosomal RNA". It matches the Rfam family "Bacterial small subunit ribosomal RNA", at positions 524 to 772 of the family's 1533-position model. The record is from RNAcentral.